Molecule: long non-coding RNA, 656 nt
Organism: Rosa chinensis
Lineage: Eukaryota; Viridiplantae; Streptophyta; Magnoliopsida; Rosales; Rosaceae
Exons: 3
Source: RefSeq, a predicted model, not a curated record
CCAGAAGCUGCUGCGGCUUCCGUUGAAAAGCAGAAGCGGCCUCACCCCUCCUUUUAAAAGCCAGAAGUCGGGAGAUCAUUAGUGACGGUAGAUUAAUGAAAUUUCGAUAAUACCAGUCUCUACCCUCCAUUUCUUGAAGGAAUUACGCAGACGGCAUGAAGGAAUUACCAGUCUCUUCAGUCCUCACGCAGACGCUGCUCCUCUUCAGAGACGCACUCUCUCUCUCUCUCUGACUAGCAUCACCUCUCUCCUUAACCCUCUGGCUUCUCUUUCUUUUGUACUCGUCAAUCAACAUCACGAUUUUGGGUAUUGGAGUUACGGAAUUAAGUAAAUAUAUUUAUGGAAAGUUGGGGAAUUGGGAUUUAAUUCUUCAGCAUUUUUUUUUUCAUAUUUUGGCUUCAAGGAAAUAGCUUUCUGGGUCUAUGUUUCUGCUUAUGAAAUUGCUCUGGUCUGGGCAUUUACUGGUGUGAAUUUGAGUUCUCAGCUUAAAUUCAAGGAAUCAAAGUAACUCAAAGCAGUACUAAACGAUCGAUUGAGCCCUGGGGGUCUUCAGAAAUAACAUGUAAGAAGACAAGGCAGCAAGUUCCCCCUCUAGCAAGGUUUCUCAUUGCUUCAGAAUGAUCCAUCCAACAUGAAAGUCUCUUGCCCUUUGAGCU